GCUUUUCCUUAGAACCACUGCAGGGGUGAAAGACAGAACAUAGAAUUGUCACAUCGUUUCACAGAAGAGCCAUCUCCUAGUUAUCUUUUUGGUUACCUUUAAUAACCAAACAACCAAACCAAGAAUUUGGCAGAUAUUUUCACUAACUCUGAUUUCCUGGGGCCUGACUGGCUAAUGUAUGCAUUGACUCAUGAAAUAAAACAGAGCUUUUCAUCAGAAAGAAGAAGGGGCCAGGUGUGCUAGCUCAUUCCGGUAAUCCCAGCAUUUUGGGAGGCUAAGGCAGGAGGAUCACUUGAGACCAGGAGUUCAAGACCAGCCUGGGCAAAAUGGCAAGACCUCCUCUCUAAAAAGAUAUUUUUUAGAAAAUUAGCCAGAUAUGGGGGUUUAUGUUUGUAGUCUCAGCUACUCAGGAGGCUGAGGUGGGAGGAUCAUUUGAGCUCAGGAGUUUAAGGCUGCAGUGAACUAUGAUUACCCCCUCUGCACUCCAGCCUGGGUGACAAAGUGAGACCACAUUUCUAAGAAAAAAAGAAAAAAAGAAUUGAAGUUAAAAAUUUUAAAUCUUGAAGAAAGGAAAACACUAUAUUCUUCCUCCUGAUUUUUGACUCUUAACUAAAACUAAUCAUCAUCUCCCCACUUUUACUGUACGGAGGACUCUCCAAAUGGGUUAUAAUAUUGCCCUUUGCCCUAUCUUCCCUCUUUUCUACCCCUGUUACUUUCUGUGUCCAGCUUGGGACUGUCAAUUACAGAAAACAAGGGAAUACUGACACAUUAAAUCUUGAACACACCUCCCCCUUAGUAAAGCCCUUCUAUAAGGUAAUACUUGCUAGAAGAAAUAGAUCCCGAAAUGAGGAUGCCUCGAAAUCAACCAAGGCUUAUUUUUCACUCAAGCAGUAAUAGAAAACAAAUGAUGAAGUCUCACUCUCGCCCAGGCUGAAGUGCAGUAGCACCACCUUGGCUCACUGUAACCUCCACCCCCUGGAUUCAAGUGAUUCUUCUGCCUCAGUCUCCUGACUAGCUGGGACUACAAGCAUGUGCCGCCACACCUGGCUCAUUUUUGUAAUUUUAGUAGAGAUAGGGUUUCACUAUGUUGGCUAGGUUGGUCUUGAACUCCUGACCUCAAGUGAUCCACCUACUUUGGCCUCCCAAAGUGCUGG
Molecule: long non-coding RNA, 1154 nt
Filed under: Callithrix jacchus (white-tufted-ear marmoset)
Lineage: Eukaryota; Metazoa; Chordata; Mammalia; Primates; Cebidae
Description: lncRNA (ENSCJAG00000055730.2)
Source: RNAcentral